Long non-coding RNA from Gossypium raimondii (Peruvian cotton), 863 nucleotides. RefSeq lists it as uncharacterized. NCBI's taxonomy places the organism in Eukaryota, Viridiplantae, Streptophyta, Magnoliopsida, Malvales, Malvaceae. The transcript has 3 exons. The record is from RefSeq and is a predicted model, not a curated record.
ACAAUCAAAGUAAAGCAUAACCCCAUAUUUGUAAACGAAGAUCAUGAGCCAAGGCAGGCUAUUCAGCCCCUGGUUGGACACUGACAGCAUGUUUGGUUAGGUGUAUUGGCUAUGCACCCCUAAUCGGUCGGCCCCAUUAAUCCCUCUUUAAUCCGUUGUUUGGUUGAUUGUAUUACCAUUACGUCUCAAAUUUGUUCCUUCUCUAAUACACCCGGUCCCGUAAUAGAUAUUCCCCCCAUCCAGCUCCGAUUAGAGAAUCCUUACCUAUUUCUUAUUUUCGUUUCCUUUUUCUGCACUCAUAGAUAUUUGCUUCUUCUUCCAUCGGUAUUGUAGAUCUGUCCUCAUUUCUUCUGCUUUCAUAACAAAUCCUCAACAUUGUCUUCAUCGGAGGCCGAUUUCAGCCGAUCUCAUCAUCUUCCGAGCUUUCAAUUUCAAAUAAGAUUCAAUGGAAACACCGGCUACACACACGAAGAUUUCCAGCUACCACAACAACAACAACUCUUGCAAAUCAAUCAAGCCUUGUUUUGGGUGGUGGUCAUGCAUGAAUGUGUCAAGAUCAGUUUGGAGAAUCCUCGAAAGGGAGCAGUUCGCAGUCGGGUUCCCCUUAAGGGCCUCUCCAGUUAGCCACAAACACCGGAGGGACCUCCACUACAUGGUGUGAGAGCAUGGAAGAUGAUGAAGAUGCAAAAUCCGAGUGCUAUAGUUGGAAAAGCCAUGUUCAAAAACCCAUAAAAAACAAUAUAUAGAGUUUACCCACCAUGAAUUUUGCAGAUUAAAAAAAAAAAAGAAAGAAAGUAUUAUGAGGAAAUCAUUUAUCUGGAGAAAUUUUCAUUUCUGAAUUGAAGGACUGCAAUUAUUGUUUA